Molecule: ribosomal RNA, 326 nt
Filed under: uncultured eukaryote
Lineage: Eukaryota
Description: partial 18S ribosomal RNA
Rfam family: Eukaryotic small subunit ribosomal RNA
Source: RNAcentral
CCCUUAGAUGUUCUGGGCCGCACACGCGCUACACUGAAGGAGGCAGCGUGUACUCCUGGAUCGAAAGAUUUGGGUAACCCGCGAAUCUCCUUCGUCUAGGGAUUGAGGUUUGCAAUUAUCCUUCAUGAACGAGGAAUUCCCAGUAAGUGCAAGUCAUAAGCUUGCGCUGACUACGUCCCUGCCCUUUGUACACACCGCCCGUCGCUACUACCGAUUGAAUGAUUUAGUGAGGACUUCGGACUGGGACCGAUGCGGCUUUCGGGCUGCGUCGGUAUUCUGGAAAGAUGUCCAAACUGUAUCAUUUAGAGGAAGUAAAAGUCGUAACA